CUAAAAUGAAAGGCUAAAGCCCACAAACAGCCAAAGUCUACAAUUAGAAACCCUAAAGAUUUGGGUGGCUCCAACUGGCGGAGGAAGAACAAAACCAGAAGAAAUCACACGCCGCACCACCAUGCCGUCGAGUCAAACUGCAGCCAGGAGAAGAUCGUUCUCACUGAAGCACUAGGGAAGAAGAUUCAAUAGUACCGCAAAUUACACGUUAUAUUACAUAAAAAUUCAUAAAACUAAAAAAAAGUCAUAAAUUAAAAAACCGAUGAUCAAAUUUUUUAGUUUUUCUUAAUAAAAUACAUAAAUCAAAUGGAAAUUUUAUUUUAUUUUAAACAAAAACUAACUAAAUCAAAUCAAACUAAUUGAAAAUCCAAUAUCAAACUCCUUCGCUCCCAGCUGCAUCCUAGACCCAUGGUAAAAGAAAAUCAGCCUGCUGAUGUCUUUUCAAUUUGCUAAAAGCAUGGGCAUCUUGCGAUUCAUAUUGUGCAUUGCAACAAAAGCAAUGAAGAAGUACCAAAUGCUACCCUACCUGGCUAUGUUUCUGGAUCUUGAAGCAAUGUUUGGCCAAUUAACACCUUCUUAAUCAUCAAUGACGUUCAAAUUAGUAAAAUGGAGAAUAUAAAAUCCAGUUGAUUCCUAGACAGAAUUGGGAACGGUGGAUUGGUUCCACAGAGAGUUCGGUCUCGGACUCAAUCGAUUCGGCCGUUGUAGAGAAAUUCCUCUGAUCCAUUGCAUCCAAUUUCUCUUUAGGAGAUAUGAUCUUUAAGACAUAAAAGGAUUAUUGUUCACUUCUU
This 791-nucleotide unclassified non-coding RNA is filed under the name Hevea brasiliensis (rubber tree). Lineage: Eukaryota; Viridiplantae; Streptophyta; Magnoliopsida; Malpighiales; Euphorbiaceae. The record is from RNAcentral.